CUGAGGCUUGGAGAAGUUACACAACCAGCCAAAGGUCAUGUGGGUUGUAAGGUUACAACCAGUCAAGUCAGGAUUCAGAACUAGAACUGCUGAACUCCAGGGCCAGGACGGGCUGGGGGUCACCGUGGCGCGGUGUUCCGCAGGGAGGAGGAGAGGGGGCCUGGGGGCUGGGUAUGAAAGCCAUUAGACAACUCUGAAGGAGAAGCAGUAGAAGGUGAGUGAUGGGAACAGCCGGGAAGUUGGAUGACUGCUAGCCUUUGAGCUUGAGAGUCCGAAUGGAUUGCCUUGUACUCUUGUCCUGAGAAACAGAGGAGGAAGCACCCUGGGGUUGGGAGAAAAAGACCAACGAACUGUGUUUAGAACAUGCUAGAUAGGAGUUAUCUACAGACUAUCCAGGUGAAAAAAUCAUCUCCAAAAUCAGCAAGGUGUGGAAGGUCGUGGAUACUAAGUGUGGAGAACCAUCCAGGGAGGAUACGGAGAGCAGCCCGACGGCAGAACGUGGAAAACAUGGACUCCAAGAGGAAACAGAGCAGAGGACACAGAGCGGAAACCCCAGAGGACGCAGCAGCGGAGAGGCGGGGAGACUGGCUGGAGGGUUUCCCUGAGGACAAAAUGAAACCAAGCACGAAGACCCCUAGCAGAGCCCUGGGCAUGCAAGUUGGUACCCAGCCAAAGGUAGCUAUCAUGCUUGACAGUCCAAACAUUAUACACAUAUUCAAACAAAUCCCAGCCAUGUGGCUAUUUAUAUCAAUGUGUCCAUUUAUUCCAGCUGACCUUUGUUUUCCAUCUAAAUUGCAUUACCGCUGCAAGUGAGCAGUCACUAGGCUGAAAAGGAGGAUCAACAACACAACUGAGGGGCAGAGGCUAACGGGAGGCCUGGAGGCACUUGGACUCAGGGCCCGAGUUGGGUUGGAGGGGGUGCUCAGAAAGCAUCGCAGCCAAUAAACACUCUGUGUUUCCAUAGUGACGUUACCCUUCUAAGAGCGCGGCUUGACUGAGCAUCAACCUUAUAAUUAUUAACUCAGAUUCUAAACAUGAGAAGCCAAACGACCCGAGCAGAAGGAAAGCCAGGGACAGUCUUAUCAAGAAUGAAUCAGCUUCUUUGAUCUUGAGGUAAACCAACCCACUAAACAUCAAGCUUCCACCUGGGGUUUUUCCAGACACGAAAAUGGUUGCCUAAUUCUCAGCUGUCUGGAGGUUCCAGUUCAAACCGGCCUUAAAGAAAAAGAAGGGGAAAAAAAAAAUAGUCCCAUCACUUUGCCAGCGUUCACACUCCAUUAAAAACAUACACAGAUCCAUGCUGCUCGUCCAAAGAGAUAAGGCCUCCGAAAAUAUUUUUAACUAAAAACAAUCCAGGUGAAGUGAAGACAGAUUAUUCCACCGAAUUUGGAACUCAACAUUCAAGUAUAAAGAGAGGGGUAAACAGAAUGAAAACAGAGAGCAGAGGUAGAAGGCAUUCAGAGGCUAGGCAGAGAAGCAGGCGAUGGGAGGAAAAUCCAGAAGGACAUCAAAGAAGCUGAACACAAAGUACACAGAGGGAGCUGGUGCAGGCGAGGCGUGCAGAAAUGGAUGAAAAACAGAGAAGAGUCAGAAGAGGGUUCAGCUGGGCAAGCACCGUGGAAAUCAGCAUCUCGCACUACACUUCCAGAAGCCUCUCCCCUACCUACCCACCCAGACUGUGCGCGGCACCGUGAAUUAAUCAGCACGUAAAUCACUGCCUUUAUCUGCGGAAAUUGAAUUUAGCUGCCAAUCUUGAUUGGGGGCAUAGAGGCCUCCUCCCAGAAAGAUCCCAGCUCUCAGGGAAAAUGCCUUUUCUUUCCUUAAACCAAAGCUUGCAUAAACCCAGGGAAACAGCUGCCGCUGGAGCCACAGACUUUGCGAAAGGUGGCAGGCUGAGGACGGUAAUUAUAAUUAGCAGUUACAUAACAUGUUUGUUCUUCAAAGUGCUCUACAAGCAUCAGCUAAUUAAUAGCUUACUAUGCCC
Mustela putorius furo (domestic ferret) is the source of this 1984-nucleotide long non-coding RNA. Lineage: Eukaryota; Metazoa; Chordata; Mammalia; Carnivora; Mustelidae. The record is from Ensembl.